Molecule: ribosomal RNA, 539 nt
Filed under: uncultured bacterium
Lineage: Bacteria
Description: partial 16S ribosomal RNA
Rfam family: Bacterial small subunit ribosomal RNA
Source: RNAcentral
UGGGGAAUAUUGGACAAUGGGCGGAAGCCUGAUCCAGCAACGCCGCGUGAGGGAUGACGGCCUUCGGGUUGUAAACCUCUUUCAGUACCGACGAAGCGAAAGUGACGGUAGGUACAGAAGAAGGACCGGCCAACUACGUGCCAGCAGCCGCGGUAAUACGUAGGGUCCGAGCGUUGUCCGGAAUUAUUGGGCGUAAAGGGCUCGUAGGCGGUUUGUCGCGUCGGGAGUGAAAACAGCGGGCUUAACUCGUUGCUUGCUUUCGAUACGGGCAGACUAGAGGUAUGCAGGGGAGAAUGGAAUUCCUGGUGUAGCGGUGAAAUGCGCAGAUAUCAGGAGGAACACCGGUGGCGAAGGCGGUUCUCUGGGCAUUACCUGACGCUGAGGAGCGAAAGUGUGGGGAGCGAACAGGAUUAGAUACCCUGGUAGUCCACACCGUAAAACGUUGGGGCGCUAGGUGUGGGGUCCUUUCCACGGAUUCCGUGCCGUAGGCUAACGCAUUAAGCGCCCCGCCUGGGGGAGUACGGCCGCAAGGCUCAAAA